RNAcentral lists this transfer RNA (91 nucleotides) under Brachylophus bulabula. RNAcentral's name for it is "tRNA-His". The stretch from base 2 to 70 matches the Rfam family "tRNA". Rfam says of the family: Transfer RNA (tRNA) molecules are approximately 80 nucleotides in length. Their secondary structure includes four short double-helical elements and three loops (D, anti-codon, and T loops). Further hydrogen bonds mediate the characteristic L-shaped molecular structure. tRNAs have two regions of fundamental functional importance: the anti-codon, which is responsible for specific mRNA codon recognition, and the 3' end, to which the tRNAs corresponding amino acid is attached (by aminoacyl-tRNA synthetases). tRNAs cope with the degeneracy of the genetic code in two manners: having more than one tRNA (with a specific anti-codon) for a particular amino acid; and 'wobble' base-pairing, i.e. permitting non-standard base-pairing at the 3rd anti-codon position. Lineage: Eukaryota; Metazoa; Chordata; Lepidosauria; Squamata; Iguanidae. The record is from RNAcentral.
UGUUAGCAUAGUUUAACCAAAACAUUAGAAUGUGGACCUAAAAAUAGAAGCUUAACCCUUCUUGCAAACCGAGAGGUGUUAUGAACACCAA